The sequence is a transfer RNA, 82 nucleotides long. It matches the Rfam family "tRNA". From Rfam's summary of the family: Transfer RNA (tRNA) molecules are approximately 80 nucleotides in length. Their secondary structure includes four short double-helical elements and three loops (D, anti-codon, and T loops). The record is from Rfam.
GAAGAAGUGACUGAGUGGUUAAAAGUGACAGACUGUAAAUCUGUUGGUAAAUCCUACAUAGGUUCGAAUCCUAUCUUCUUCA